Long non-coding RNA from Pezoporus occidentalis (night parrot), 849 nucleotides. RefSeq lists it as uncharacterized. The record is from RefSeq and is a predicted model, not a curated record. Lineage: Eukaryota; Metazoa; Chordata; Aves; Psittaciformes; Psittacidae. The transcript has 2 exons.
GGAAGUGACAACAGAGCAGCUCAAAACAGUUAAACCACAAAUGGAAAUCUUGGCCCACUAGAAGGAAGUGCCCCAUAGAGUCAGCAUGGGAAACAUUAUAGAGUUGUUGAAAUGCAUGUGAUAGCUGUAUCUCCUUUGGCUUCAUGGUCCUUGACUCUGAGCAUCUUCUGUCUUGUAAAUACCUAAAAUAUUCCUCCAGGGAAUGCAAAUCCAUAUUCUGCUCAUUUAAACCUACAGACAACUAACUUUCUUGGUGACAACUUACAAAUAGUUUCCCUAAAAGUGUUCUGUCACCUUCUAGUGUCUGCAGACCACAUGCUGAAACCACUGUCUAGACACCAGCCAAACAACAUAGGAAACAACCAUUCCCAUCACAGAAAACACUCCUCAUCCGAACAUUAGAUCUAACUGCUUUGUGUCAAUACCUUGGCACAGGACCCAGCAUGAUGGAAGCUCAGCAGAAAAAUGGAUGAAACCAUUCAGGUCAGUCAGUUGAUCAUUUAUGUACCAAUUUUCUUUGAUGUAUUAUUUAAUGCUCUGACAUUGAUGGUCUUUCACUGCAAGCAGAGCGCAUGUGACCAACUUAAUCACAUCACACACUGCUUGGCCCUCAUUCUGCCUUUUAAAGUCUCUUUUCAAAGAGAGCAAAAGAAACCAGACACAAAUUGUGCCUGAACUGACGAAUCAUCUGGUGCUUAAGGAGAUGCGCGAGUGUUGUCACCCUUGUAGCUGUCAGCAAAUACACUGCUAUUAACUAUCCUUGGAGAGCAAGGGGCUUAGGGUUCCUGUUAGCCCAUUCUCCUUUAUGGCCUCGUAGGAUGGCAAAUAAAAACUGCUGUUGAGAUACCA